RNAcentral lists this transfer-messenger RNA (346 nucleotides) under bovine gut metagenome. It matches the Rfam family "transfer-messenger RNA". From Rfam's summary of the family: Bacterial tmRNA, also known as 10Sa RNA or SsrA, is named for its dual tRNA and mRNA-like properties. The record is from RNAcentral.
GGGGGUGCACUGGUUUCGACGGGGAUCGUCGGAGGUAUGGUAAGCGAGCCGCGGACCCUGGCCGCGUUAAAACGGGGAAAUUAAAAUUAACUGACAAUACUCAGUACGCUUUCGCUGCCUGAUAUGGCGGCGCGUCGACACUGAGCGCCUACGGCUCAGCCCACCGGCGUCAUUGAUGUAGGGAACGGGGGCAGGAGGGCCUCGGCCUGCCCCGGCUCAAGAGGCUACUGAACCCGCCAGCCCGGCAGAGGGCGUGCGGGAGAGGGAAUGUCAAAACCCUGCCUGCGCUCGGAGAAAACCAUGCAGCUGAAUCUUCGGACAGGAGUUCGAUUCUCCUCACCUCCAU